AUCACCUGCUUCAGGAUGUAGUUGAUGCAGGUAAUGGAAACUGUACCAGUGAGACUGCAGUUCCUAUGCUCUGAUCCUGGAAGAACCAGAGGCAGCAUAGUGAGGGAAGAUGGAGUGUAAUAGAAAAGUGGCAACAUGAUGAAAGAACAGAUCAGCUCCUCCUUUCUCCAUUCUUGGUCCCUGGUUCAAAGCCACAGGCAAGACCUCAACCACAGGGACAGGAGUAGCAUUGACCCAAAGAAAAAAAAUGCUCAGCUUGAGUAGCAGAGACCAGGUGGAAGAUUGGGGGAAAAAAGGACUUGAGAUAUUAUCAUCUCAAAGUUAUCCAUCAAAGAGGAAUUUCUUCUCUUGCAAAGAAAGUUUUUGCUCUUCAUGUUAAAAUUUC
This is a long non-coding RNA of Hyaena hyaena (striped hyena), 385 nucleotides long. RefSeq lists it as uncharacterized. The transcript is spliced from 3 exons. The record is from RefSeq and is a predicted model, not a curated record. NCBI's taxonomy places the organism in Eukaryota, Metazoa, Chordata, Mammalia, Carnivora, Hyaenidae.